RNAcentral lists this ribosomal RNA (484 nucleotides) under uncultured bacterium. Its description in RNAcentral is "partial 16S ribosomal RNA". It matches the Rfam family "Bacterial small subunit ribosomal RNA", at positions 30 to 507 of the family's 1533-position model. The record is from RNAcentral.
AUUGAACGCUGGCGGCAGGCCUAACACAUGCAAGUCGAGCGGAUGAAGGGAGCUUGCUCCUGGAUUCAGCGGCGGACGGGUGAGUAAUGCCUAGGAAUCUGCCUGGCAGUGGGGGAUAACGUCCGGAAACGGGCGCUAAUACCGCAUACGUCCUGAGGGAGAAAGUGGGGGAUCUUCGGACCUCACGCUAUCAGAUGAGCCUAGGUCGGAUUAGCUAGUUGGUGGGGUAAAGGCCUACCAAGGCGACGAUCCGUAACUGGUCUGAGAGGAUGAUCAGUCACACUGGAACUGAGACACGGUCCAGACUCCUACGGGAGGCAGCAGUGGGGAAUCUUGGACAAUGGGCGAAAGCCUGAUCCAGCCACGCCGCGUGUGUGAAGAAGGUCUUCGGAUUGUAAAGCACUUUAAGUUGGGAGGAAGGGCAGUAAGUUAAUACCUUGCUGUUUUGACGGUACCAAUAGAAUAAGCACCGGCUAACUUCGUG